This 958-nucleotide long non-coding RNA is filed under the name Homo sapiens (human). RNAcentral describes it as "HSALNT0365460". Lineage: Eukaryota; Metazoa; Chordata; Mammalia; Primates; Hominidae. The record is from RNAcentral.
AACAAAUGGAAAGCUUGACAGAUGAAUAAGACUUUUCUCAUGAUUUUAAAAAAUGAAAAUGCAACAGCAAAGCAAAUAUCACCACCGAAGUUAUUCCGAAGAAACUGCCUUUGGUAUGUAGGCUGGAGCAAAGACUCCAAAGCCUCCCCUCGAUCUCCCAUCAGAAUCCUCCACUUUUGCUGUAUUUCCUAAUUUUGUAGACUCUAUUGCUGAGCUCUUUAUCAAACCAGUGUGCAAUAAAAAAGCCUCCACCGUUCUACUAACUUGCAAUUUUCUCCCUCCUCCUGGACAGAGGCCACUAGGAAGGGAAAGCCUCAAAAAAAAAAAAAAAAAAAAAGAGGAGUGAAAGCGAAGAAACAAUAGACAACCGUGGCUUUGACAAUGCCUUCCCUCAACCCCCUUUCUGCUCCUGCUGUGACACUUGCAUUCAAGAGCAAGGACGUCUGCCAUCCGAUGCAUGGACAAUGGAAUGAGGAAUACAAGGCAGCGGGGAAGAAAGGAAAUCAGAUGAAUUCUGAGCUAAGAUGGCAGGGUUCUCACCUUUUCCAUUUUGGGGAAUUUUUUUGUUUUUUGGGUUUUUUUUUUUUUUUUUGCCAAAAAUAAAAAGUCUGGAUGGAGUCUUCCCGCAGAGAAGAAAUAAAAAGAGUGUUUGAAUUGUUGGAUGGUUCUGAAGGCUUCUGAAUUUGCAAACGAAUUUUAGAACUAUUUGCAGAGGUCUACUUGCUGCCAGUCAUCUCUCUCUCUCUCUCUUUCUCUUCUGUUUUAUGUCCUGCUAUCUCCAUCAUGCCUCUGUUACUAUGAAGACUUUCUGCCUGUAAACCUCAAAAAAAUCGACCCUUCCGAAAACCAAUGCUCUGCCUUUCGUUUUCAAGGACAUUAAAAUAUUGCUAACUUGAAUACACAAGAAGAAAGAGGGUGGUAUAAGUAACAGCUGAUCUCACUCCCUUUUAAAUAUAAA